This is a non-coding RNA of Araneus ventricosus, 72 nucleotides long. The record is from the annotation of a GenBank genome assembly. NCBI's taxonomy places the organism in Eukaryota, Metazoa, Arthropoda, Arachnida, Araneae, Araneidae.
GCCACCAUACCUCAGUGGUUAGAGUAAUUGGUUCUUGUAAACCAGGGUCGAGUUCAAUCCUCACUGGUGGCU